This 475-nucleotide ribosomal RNA is filed under the name uncultured bacterium. RNAcentral's name for it is "bacterial SSU rRNA". It matches the Rfam family "Bacterial small subunit ribosomal RNA", at positions 32 to 515 of the family's 1533-position model. The record is from RNAcentral.
GAAAAACGCAAGAGACGUGCCUAACACAUGCAAAUUUAAUAGUUAAUUAUAUUUUAAUUAUAGUGAAUUGGUGAGUAAUAUAUGAAAAUUUAAUUUUAGAUUAGAAGUACUCCUAAUAACUUAGGGUUAAUCUCUGAUAAGCGCAAUUGUGCUUUAAAAAGUUAAUACUGUCUAAAAAAAAGUUCAUAUCUGAUUAGCUAGUUAGUAAGGUAAUAGCUUACUAAGGCGAAGAUCAGUAGCUGCCCUGAGAGGGGGAUCAGCCACAUUGGGAUUGAAAUACAGCCCAAACUCCUACGGGAGGCAGCAGUAGGGAAUCUUCGGCAAUGGACGCAAGUCUGACCGAGCAACGCCGCGUGAGUGAAGAAGGUUUUCGGAUCGUAAAGCUCUGUUGUUAGAGAAGAACAAGUGGAAUAGUAACUGAUUUCACCAUGACGGUAUCUAACCAGAAAGCCACGGCUAACUACGUGCCAGCCGC